Cercocebus atys (sooty mangabey) is the source of this 616-nucleotide long non-coding RNA. RefSeq lists it as uncharacterized. The transcript has 4 exons. The record is from RefSeq and is a predicted model, not a curated record. NCBI's taxonomy places the organism in Eukaryota, Metazoa, Chordata, Mammalia, Primates, Cercopithecidae.
GUGACCUCCCUGUGCCUCAGGUUCUUGCAGAGUGGAAAUGCCCACUUCGCAGAAUGGCUGUGGGUGUGGAUGAGACGAUGUAGUGGACACUCCUGCCUGGCACCCAUGGGUGCUCAUGAAGAUUGUGUUAGCUGUUGGCUGCAAUAUGUUGUGACUUAUCAUGUGUGAUCCUUGAGUGAAGAGGCAGCUGCGAGCCUGAACUGACUCCUAUGAACUAGUCUUCUCCAGCAAUAGACCCUUCUUCAACUUAUGGUAGCCUGUACGCCAAGGGUGACAGACUGGAAAGCAGGAUCUACUGGGACAUCUAUGGGAAAAGGAGGGGGAAUGAGAUCAAGGAUUGAGGACGCUAAUGGGGCACCAGCUCCAGAAUGGCCAUCACUGAGCACAUAGAGGAGUGAAAUUUAAGGGGGCAGAGUGGAGUGUUCAUAGAUUCGAGUUCAACAUGAUUGAAGAUGGAAGGUAGAAGGCAGAAGGCACGUGUGGUCCAUUUACCUUGGACAACAAGUACAUGGUCUACAAGGUGUCCACAUUGGCCUCUGGGAACCACGGACAGGGCCAAUGUAUAAUCACGGGGCUAUGCAAGGAUCAGCAUCCCAUGUUUACACUGACACUGCAA